CCUACGGGAGGCAGCAGUGGGGAAUAUUGCACAAUGGGCGCAAGCCUGAUGCAGCCAUGCCGCGUGUAUGAAGAAGGCCUUCGGGUUGUAAAGUACUUUCAGCGGGGAGGAAGGCGAUAAGGUUAAUAACCUUGUCGAUUGACGUUACCCGCAGAAGAAGCACCGGCUAACUCCGUGCCAGCAGCCGCGGUAAUACGGAGGGUGCAAGCGUUAAUCGGAAUUACUGGGCGUAAAGCGCACGCAGGCGGUCUGUCAAGUCGGAUGUGAAAUCCCCGGGCUCAACCUGGGAACUGCAUUCGAAACUGGCAGGCUGGAGUCUUGUAGAGGGGGGUAGAAUUCCAGGUGUAGCGGUGAAAUGCGUAGAGAUCUGGAGGAAUACCGGUGGCGAAGGCGGCCCCCUGGACAAAGACUGACGCUCAGGUGCGAAAGCGUGGGGAGCA
This 440-nucleotide ribosomal RNA is filed under the name uncultured Enterobacter sp. Its description in RNAcentral is "bacterial SSU rRNA". It matches the Rfam family "Bacterial small subunit ribosomal RNA", at positions 338 to 770 of the family's 1533-position model. Lineage: Bacteria; Pseudomonadati; Pseudomonadota; Gammaproteobacteria; Enterobacterales; Enterobacteriaceae. The record is from RNAcentral.